This 6602-nucleotide unclassified non-coding RNA is filed under the name Homalodisca vitripennis (glassy-winged sharpshooter). Its description in RNAcentral is "neurexin-4, transcript variant X13". The record is from RNAcentral. Lineage: Eukaryota; Metazoa; Arthropoda; Insecta; Hemiptera; Cicadellidae.
UGGGCCGUGCCAGGACUGGGUACACAAGUGGUACUACAACACGUCAACACAGGCCUGUAAGAUAUUAUAAGUGGCUUUGUAUUGUUACCAUGAUGAUGUCUGACAGAGAGGUGCAAGGGCGUGGUGUCGCGUGGGCCGUGCCAGGACUGGGUACACAAGUGGUACUACAACACGUCAACACAGGCCUGUAAGAUAUUAUAAGUGGCUUUGUAUUGUUACCAUGAUGAUGUCUGACAGAGAGGUGCAAGGGCGUGGUGUCGCGUGGGCCGUGCCAGGACUGGGUACACAAGUGGUACUACAACACGUCAACACAGGCCUGUAAGAUAUUAUAAGUGGCUUUGUAUUGUUACCAUGAUGAUGUCUGACAGAGAGGUGCAAGGGCGUGGUGUCGCGUGGGCCGUGCCAGGACUGGGUACACAAGUGGUACUACAACACGUCAACACAGGCCUGUAAGAUAUUAUAAGUGGCUUUGUAUUGUUACCAUGAUGAUGUCUGACAGAGAGGUGCAAGGGCGUGGUGUCGCGUGGGCCGUGCCAGGACUGGGUACACAAGUGGUACUACAACACGUCAACACAGGCCUGUAAGAUAUUAUAAGUGGCUUUGUAUUGUUACCAUGAUGAUGUCUGACAGAGAGGUGCAAGGGCGUGGUGUCGCGUGGGCCGUGCCAGGACUGGGUACACAAGUGGUACUACAACACGUCAACACAGGCCUGUAAGAUAUUAUAAGUGGCUUUGUAUUGUUACCAUGAUGAUGUCUGACAGAGAGGUGCAAGGGCGUGGUGUCGCGUGGGCCGUGCCAGGACUGGGUACACAAGUGGUACUACAACACGUCAACACAGGCCUGUAAGAUAUUUGUGUACGGCGGCUGCAAGGGCGAGAAUGUGUUCGAUUCAGAGGCAGAGUGUCUCCACUACUGUAUCGGCGGUGACCAUACCCUUCCUCCCUACCUGAUGAUACCACCUGCGCCGCCGGACGAAUCGACGAGUGAGGCCCCACGAGUCACCUCUGCGCGGCCUCCGGUCCCACUCGAACAUCGAGGGAUCGAGCUGACCUUUGCGGAAACAGGGCACCACAAGGUGUUCAUGAUGGCGAAGAACAACGCGUUCAUUCAGCUCGAUGGCAAUCGCAUCCCCACGUUUCAACUGAGGUUGUGUCGUGAGAUAUCUUUCCAGUUCCGCACUCGCCUGCCGCACGGUCUGCUUGUCUACCACAGUGUUAAGGACCGGCCGGAAGGACUCGACCCUUACGCCCUCUACGUUAUUGUAGAAAAGGGUCAGCUCAAGGUCGUUCACGUGUUUGGGAAACAUUCUCUGUCUGUUAUAGUGGGAGAGGGACUGAACCGGGACACUUGGCACAGUGUGAUGGUGCGCAUAGAUGUGCAUGGCGCUCGUCUCAUAGCUAAGGUCGAUGACAAAACUGCCGAGGCUAGUAUACCAGGGUUGAAUGAGUCUACCAAUUAUGGCGUCACAUCGGAUCUCACAUCUGUUGUUCUUAUUGGAGGGCUAAGUCCAGAGGAGAAGUUGCAUGGAGUGAAGUAUAUCAUCGAGUCUUUUGUUGGUUGUAUCAAAGACAUGGUGCUGAGUGCAGGGAAGGCUGCCUCGGAUCUACUGCCUAUCAAGCCUCUCAUCGCAACCAAACAUGACAAUGUCCUUGAAGGUUGUCUGAACAAAUGUCGAACAAGAGAGAAUUUCUGCUUUGAGGGAAGCAAGUGUAUCAACCACUACAACGAACUGUCCUGUGACUGUUUCGGCACCAGCUAUGAGGGUGAACUCUGUGAUAUUUACACCGCUACUAUUUUAACUUUCCGUGGAUCCUCAUAUGUCUCAUAUCGUGUCUAUGACUGGAAAGACAGGGUUCAUUCUAGCAUCAACAAGAUAGGCCUGCACUUCAAGACACGGUUUGACGACUCGGCACUGUUCUACGCCAGUGGAGAGUCACCUGGUCACCAUCACAUCGCUGCGGCCAUCACCAACGGCUCUGUGACUGUGGAGGUAGACCUCGGAGGUGACCCUGUGGUGGUACGGCUCGGUAAGACAGUCAAUGAUAACCUCUGGCACAACCUCACUCUUUCCCACCACCACAACAACGUCACAGUUCACUUGGACCAGGUUGCAAGAGUGAUACAGAUUCAGAAUGGCCAACCUCAUCUAUACAUAGAUCCAGAGAUCUAUAUCGGGGGUGGGCCGGACCUGCAACAGAAAAAAGGGCUUGCGUCACACAACAAUUUUGUCGGCUCCCUAAAAUAUGUCUAUUUUAAUGAGAUCUCCAUUCUGUAUGAGCUGAAGAAAGGCAACCCUAAGGUCCAUUACAUAGGAGUGCUUGAUCCAAUGUUUUUUGAGUACGACAUCAAGGUUAUCCCCAUCACGUUCCCGUUCUCGGUGGCCCACGUCUGGUGGCCGAUAACCACCCCCGAGUACCUGCACCUGUGUUUCGAGUUCAAGAGCAGUCGCAGCAUGGCCAUACUGGCCACUGCCGAGGUGGUGUCCUCUCUGGGUCUGGGCCAGUGGGAGUUGAGAAUGGUAAACGAAGAGAUUCGUUUUGAAGUGAUACCCGAGCAGAACAAGAACAUCACACAUCUGACUACCGUCAAGUUUGACUCCAAGGAUGAAUGGCACACUAUAGAGCUAACCUACAAUGACGGAGAGGUGAAUCUGAUUGUGGACUCCAAAAGUAAGACAGCUGACCUGUUUGGGCUGCAGUUCAAACUGAGUGAUGUUAUCACCAUCGGCAGUGGAGUAGGACCCAAGUCUAGCCUGGGAUUGGUGGGAUGUAUGCAGAAGAUCUCGGUGAAUGGCUUCUUGAUAGAGCCUCGCUAUGUGACUCGCACAAAGCAUACUUUCGGUCACGUGUCACUGGACAAUUGUGAGUUGGUGGAUCCCUGCAAGAGCCCUAAUGCUUGCGAGCACGGAGGCAUCUGCUCCGUGAAGGAGGAUCAUCUCUCUUGUGAUUGUAAAGAGACUGGAUAUAUAGGGAAGAAUUGCCAUUUUGCCAAAUUCCGCAAGACGUGUGAGGAGCUGGCACUGCUGGGCUACACCAAGCCUGACGUGUACUUGAUCGACAUUGACGGUAAUGGCAGGUUUCCUCCAGCCCACGUCAAGUGUGAGUUCCAGUCUCUGGAGGACUCGACGAAGACCAUCGUCGAGCACAAUCUUCCCAGCCAAGUUGAUGUGAGGAGCUCUGCAGAGACUGAUUUUAGUUUUGACAUUUCUUACCGAGAGUUCAACUCGGCAAUGUUGACAGAACUCAUCUCACAUUCACUGUACUGCAGCCAGUACAUCAAGUACGAUUGCUACAAGGCCCCUCUAGAGCUGCAUUCGGCCACGUGGUUCAUCUCUGCUGCUCACAACGGAACCGUUGACUACCUUGGCAACGUUAAGCGUGGCUCCUGCCCUUGUGCAGUGAACCGCUCUUGUGUGAAUGCUGAACAGUCCUGCAAUUGUGACAUCUCUGAGGCCAAGUGGCUCUCUGACGAAGGUUACUACAUCUCUCCUGAUUCUCUUGGCAUCACCAAAAUGGUGUUCCUUCAGCAGAAAGAUCUAGACGAGGAUGCUCUUGGUAGAAUUACACUUGGACCUCUGGAAUGUGUUGAAACCAAUACACAGAAAUAUGUAGUUACAUUCACUUCCAGCCAAUCAUACAUAGAAGUGCCUGGCUGGACCAAGGGAGACAUAGCCUUCAGUUUUCGUACAACAGGAGAGAAGGCCAUCCUUCUCUACCAGCCCCCUAUCCGACCUCAUCAGCCCUCCUUCAUGGUGGCUCUGACUAGUGAGUUCCACCUGACAUUCAACUUCACAAUGAAUACUGGCAAGCCGCGAGCUCUCGCUAUCAAGUCGUCCCGUCGCCUCAACUCGGGAGAAUGGCAGAAGAUCUGGAUAGACUACAACCAGCAUCACGUGCGUUUCAUGAUCAACACAGACUACCAGAUGGUGGACUUGCUGCCUGAGGAGGAGUUUGGACCCUUUGAGGGCAGUAUGUUCAUUGGCGGAGCUACUGAAGACCUGCUGGUGGGCCAGUCAGUUCACAAAGGGUUAAUUGGCUGUUUCCGUGGAUUGGUGGUGAACGGGGAGAUCCUCGACAUCUAUUCUUACAUGAGUGUUCACCUGUCAGAGAUAAUCAAGGACUGCAAGCCCUCCUGUGAUCCUAACCCCUGCAAGAAUGGAGCUAGGUGCAAGGAACUGUGGAGUACCUUUGAGUGUGUAUGUGACAACCCCUGGGCCUACAUCGGCACAUACUGUGAAACCAACAUAAACGAGAAUGGAAUCACACUGGUGACGAGAGAGUCAUACUUCAAGAAGAAUUAUUUGUUCAAUGUGACAAGUGAGGAGAAGAGGAACUACAAGGCCUUGCUGACGGAGACGGUUCUGGUGAAUCUGAGGACUUACGAUCAACAUUCACUGAUUCUUCAUGCCAACGAUCAUCUCAACAACUUCCUCCAGCUGUACAUCACUGCGGGGACUAAAGUAGUGCUACUCUUCAACCGCAUGGAGGUUAUCCAUAACAUCACCGUUGAGUAUGGAGGACUGAACAGCGGUAAGUCUGUACAGAUCGCUGUAGAGAGGAGAGCAGAGGAGACGAUCUUACACGUCAACGAUCACAACAGUUCUGUACCAGUCGGAGUGCGACUGCUCACAGAGUACUCUAACAAGCCUUGGAACAAUUCGGAGAAAGAGGUGUUGGCCCCUCAGAGGCCCCCGGCACCUCCAACAGACUACUUCCAAGUGAAUCUUGGAGGCUAUGACCGUGAGAACUUACUUCAUGUGAAUUCUGGGGCUCCCGUUCUGGAUGGUUACAUUGGCUGUAUACGUGGACUCAAAAUAGGAAAUAUUCUCAUGGACUUGUCCCACCAGCUUGAUAUAAAUGACAGUGCAGGCAUUAUUGCUGGAUGUCACAUGCGUUGUGAUGAGGUACCUUGCAAAAAUCAGGGAAUCUGUAUUGAGGACUUUCAGAAGAAUGAGAGCUCUUGUGACUGCGAGUUUACCUCCUACUACGGCGAGUUUUGUGGACAAGAAAAGGGAGCGGACUUCAGCGGAGAGUCAGUUCUGCAGAGGAAGUUCCCGCUGGAAGGUCCAGUGACUCAGAUCAAGGUCCAGUUGGCGUUCUCCAGCGGAGACGACCGCCAGCGAAACACUGUAGUGCUGCUGCUGCAGACAGAGAACAAGCGCAGCUACUACCUCCUUGUUGCUUUGAGCUCUGAAGGGGAGUUGAUAUUUGAGGAGGACAGAGAAGGUUCUGCCUAUGGAGCUCGAAUUAAGGACCGGUACUUCCUCAAUGGUGCUAGGCAUUCCAUCUACUAUCUUCGCAACAAUGAUUCUGCAAUGCUGCGGGUGGACCGAGAAACAGUUCCUCUGGUGGCCAUCCCAGUCCUGAGUCUAACAGAGGUUCCUGAGGGUCAUCUCGGAGCCAAUGAGGUUCAGAUCGGAGGCCUGAACACCAGUGACCCCCGUUUCGCUGCCUACAAGAGCUACAGUGGCUGUCUGUCAAAUGUAUUCUUGGAGGUUAACAAGUACAGUAUGAAACCCCUGGACGAGUACAUGCUGUUUACUAAAACAGGUAGCGAGGAGGUGAACGUAAUGAAUUCACACGGCAUCAGAAGUGCUCAGUGUGCUUUCUUCGAUGUCACCCACAAACCGAGGCCUGGCCCUUCGCUCAACAUCAGUCUGGGCAAAGAUGCUAUAUUGACUUGGGUGGUGGACCCUCCAAAGAGGACCGACUACAAGUCUACGUACUCGGAUAUUUCCACAGAGGAAAACGAAACAGGCAAAAUUCUCUUCAUCAUUGCAACUUCCUUAUUCUGUAUAAUAAUCCUGGGCACUCUGUACCAUGUGUGGAGUAACCACCUCCAGUGGAAGAAGCGAAGAGAGCGACGUGCGGCUCAGGCCAUCAAGUGGCACAAUGGCCAGCAGAUACCGCCUGGUUUCACGGAUCCGGUUCAGGUCAAAGUGGUCAGGUCUCGCAGUGUUCCACAACCAGUAGAAGAGAGCAAAGUGUUGAUUGGCAACGGAACAGAGCUGAGGCCAGUCAUCAAGCCAGUGGGAGUUCGGCAACGCUUGCGAGACAGCGAGCGCCAUCUGGCAACCCCCAUCAGAGAAGAGAAAUCAGCUGGUGAAGAGAGCGAAGAUGAAAACCACAAGUUAAUAAAUCCACCCCCACCAAAAAUAAUUGUGGAGGAACUUGAUGAUAAACUGGCUGUGGAGGAGGAGGAGGAGGAAGAAGAGGCAGUGGACAUCCCUGCGGACAAGAUACCGGAAGGGGAUGAUGAGAAGAGUGGGGAAGAGGAGAAAGAGAAGGAAGAAGAGCCCAUGGUCAUCACACAAGUAGACUCUACCAACAAGGACAAGGAACUGGACGAGCGACUCUUAGGCAACCCGGUGGUGGGGUGGGCAUAUAGGUGGAUAGACUCCCUUACACCAUAGACGAGCUCGGGAGCAUGGAGUUCACCACCACACCCUACGCUUGACACAGGACGGACCUGAGAGUCCCAGUGGACGGACAAACCCAGAACCGGAAACCAAACCUAUGUACCGCCCCUUGAGGAAUCUGUUCCCAGUUACCAAUAUCUCCCCAGUUUUUCUGUCUGAGGACCAGAGGACAUUCCUGAAUCCC